Molecule: ribosomal RNA, 1372 nt
Filed under: uncultured bacterium
Lineage: Bacteria
Description: bacterial SSU rRNA
Rfam family: Bacterial small subunit ribosomal RNA
Source: RNAcentral
GAUAAACGCUGGCGGCGUGCCUAAUACAUGCAAGUCGAGCGAACGGACGAGAAGCUUGCUUCUCUGAUGUUAGCGGCGGACGGGUGAGUAACACGUGGAUAACCUACCUAUAAGACUGGGAUAACUUCGGGAAACCGGAGCUAAUACCGGAUAAUAUUUUGAACCGCAUGGUUCAAAAGUGAAAGACGGUCUUGCUGUCACUUAUAGAUGGAUCCGCGCUGCAUUAGCUAGUUGGUAAGGUAACGGCUUACCAAGGCAACGAUGCAUAGCCGACCUGAGAGGGUGAUCGGCCACACUGGAACUGAGACACGGUCCAGACUCCUACGGGAGGCAGCAGUAGGGAAUCUUCCGCAAUGGGCGAAAGCCUGACGGAGCAACGCCGCGUGAGUGAUGAAGGUCUUCGGAUCGUAAAACUCUGUUAUUAGGGAAGAACAUAUGUAUAAGUAACUGUGCACAUCUUGACGGUACCUAAUCAGAAAGCCACGGCUAACUACGUGCCAGCAGCCGCGGUAAUACGUAGGUGGCAAGCGUUAUCCGGAAUUAUUGGGCAUAAAGCGCGCGUAGGCGGUUUUUUAAGUCUGAUGUGAAAGCCCACGGCUCAACCGUGGAGGGUCAUUGGAAACUGGAAAACUUGAGUGCAGAAGAGGAAAGUGGAAUUCCAUGUGUAGCGGUGAAAUGCGCAGAGAUAUGGAGGAACACCAGUGGCGAAGGCGACUUUCUGGUCUGUAACUGACGCUGAUGUGCGAAAGCGUGGGGAUCAAACAGGAUUAGAUACCCUGGUAGUCCACGCCGUAAACGAUGAGUGCUAAGUGUUAGGGGGUUUCCGCCCCUUAGUGCUGCAGCUAACGCAUUAAGCACUCCGCCUGGGGAGUACGACCGCAAGGUUGAAACUCAAAGGAAUUGACGGGGACCCGCACAAGCGGUGGAGCAUGUGGUUUAAUUCGAAGCAACGCGAAGAACCUUACCAAAUCUUGACAUCCUUUGACAACUCUAGAGAUAGAGCCUUCCCCUUCGGGGGACAAAGUGACAGGUGGUGCAUGGUUGUCGUCAGCUCGUGUCGUGAGAUGUUGGGUUAAGUCCCGCAACGAGCGCAACCCUUAAGCUUAGUUGCCAUCAUUAAGUUGGGCACUCUAAGUUGACUGCCGGUGACAAACCGGAGGAAGGUGGGGAUGACGUCAAAUCAUCAUGCCCCUUAUGAUUUGGGCUACACACGUGCUACAAUGGACAAUGCAAAGGGCAGCGAAACCGCGAGGUCAAGCAAAUCCCAUAAAGUUGUUCUCAGUUCGGAUUGUAGUCUGCAACUCGACUACAUGAAGCUGGAAUCGCUAGUAAUCGUAGAUCAGCAUGCUACGGUGAAUACGUUCCCGGGUCU